RNAcentral lists this ribosomal RNA (499 nucleotides) under Sporobolomyces pararoseus. RNAcentral's name for it is "eukaryotic LSU rRNA". It matches the Rfam family "Eukaryotic large subunit ribosomal RNA", at positions 76 to 604 of the family's 3401-position model. The record is from RNAcentral. Lineage: Eukaryota; Fungi; Basidiomycota; Microbotryomycetes; Sporidiobolales; Sporidiobolaceae.
UCCCCUAGUAGCGGCGAGCGAAGCGGGAAAAGCUCAAAUUUGUAAUCUGGCGUCUUCGACGUCCGAGUUGUAAUCUCGAGAAGUGUUUUCCGUGAUAGACCGCAUACAAGUCUCUUGGAACAGAGCGUCAUAGUGGUGAGAACCCAGUACACGAUGCGGAUGCCUAUUACUUUGUGAUACACUUUCGAAGAGUCGAGUUGUUUGGGAAUGCAGCUCAAAUUGGGUGGUAAAUUCCAUCUAAAGCUAAAUAUUGGCGAGAGACCGAUAGCGAACAAGUACCGUGAGGGAAAGAUGAAAAGCACUUUGGAAAGAGAGUUAACAGUACGUGAAAUUGUUGGAAGGGAAACACAUGCAGUGAUACUUGCUAUUCGGGGCAACUCGAUUGGCAGGCCCGCAUCAGUUUUUCGGGGCGGAAAAGCAUAGAGAGAAGGUAGCAGUUUCGGCUGUGUUAUAGCUCUUUAUUUGAUUCGCCCUGGGGGACUGAGGAACGCAGCGUGCU